Molecule: ribosomal RNA, 253 nt
Filed under: uncultured bacterium
Lineage: Bacteria
Description: partial 16S ribosomal RNA
Rfam family: Bacterial small subunit ribosomal RNA
Source: RNAcentral
UACAGAGGCCUCGAGCGUUAGGCGGAAUCACUGGGCUUAAAGCGUGUGUAGGUGGAUGCCUAAGUACCUUGUGAAAUCCCACGGCUUAACCGUGGAACUGCUGGGUAUACUGGGCGUCUUGAGCCACUCAGGGGCUACCGGAACAAACGGUGGAGCGGUGAAAUGCGUAGAUAUCCGGAGGAACACCGGUGGCGAAGGCGGCUUCCUGGGCCGAUACUGACGCUGAGGCACGAAAGCGUGGGGAGCAAACAGG